Non-coding RNA from Chelonoidis abingdonii (Abingdon island giant tortoise), 257 nucleotides. NCBI's taxonomy places the organism in Eukaryota, Metazoa, Chordata, Testudines, Testudinidae. The record is from RefSeq and is a predicted model, not a curated record.
CUUAGCAUCACAGUUAUGCUAUCCCCAUAUUUCAAAGCAAUUGUUAGUCAUCAACAAAUUGUUUCGUUCCCAGUUGCUCUGAUGUUGCUUCGGGCUGUGCUGGGGAGCAAAUUUUUACUACCACUUUUCUCACUUAAAAUAUAUGGAACUAUAACAAAGAGAAGGAACAGGGAGGGAUAGCUCAGUGGUUUGAGCAUUGGUCUGCUAAACCUAGGGUUGUGAGUUCAGUCCUUGAGGGGACUAUUUAGGGUUUUGGG